Molecule: ribosomal RNA, 506 nt
Filed under: Proteus mirabilis
Lineage: Bacteria; Pseudomonadati; Pseudomonadota; Gammaproteobacteria; Enterobacterales; Morganellaceae
Description: bacterial SSU rRNA
Rfam family: Bacterial small subunit ribosomal RNA
Source: RNAcentral
AUCCUGGCUCAGAUUGAACGCUGGCGGCAGGCCUAACACAUGCAAGUCGAGCGGUAACAGGAGAAAGCUUGCUUUCUUGCUGACGAGCGGCGGACGGGUGAGUAAUGUAUGGGGAUCUGCCCGAUAGAGGGGGAUAACUACUGGAAACGGUGGCUAAUACCGCAUAAUGUCUACGGACCAAAGCAGGGGCUCUUCGGACCUUGCACUAUCGGAUGAACCCAUAUGGGAUUAGCUAGUAGGUGGGGUAAAGGCUCACCUAGGCGACGAUCUCUAGCUGGUCUGAGAGGAUGAUCAGCCACACUGGGACUGAGACACGGCCCAGACUCCUACGGGAGGCAGCAGUGGGGAAUAUUGCACAAUGGGCGCAAGCCUGAUGCAGCCAUGCCGCGUGUAUGAAGAAGGCCUUAGGGUUGUAAAGUACUUUCAGCGGGGAGGAAGGUGAUAAGGUUAAUACCNUUAUCAAUUGACGUUACCCGCAGAAGAAGCACCGGCUAACUCCGUGCCNG